Molecule: non-coding RNA, 802 nt
Filed under: Scarabaeoidea sp. KM-2017
Lineage: Eukaryota; Metazoa; Arthropoda; Insecta; Coleoptera
Source: RNAcentral
AAAAAGUUUUAUUUUGGCUUUUAAAAUUUAGUUUAUAUUUUUAUUUAUAUGUGAAUUUUAGUAUGAUAUAUUUAUUUAAAUAGUAAAUUAUACAAAUAAAAAUUUUUGCAAUAACUAAUGUUAUACAUAUAAAAGGAAUUUUGAUAUAUAAAUAUAUAAGAAUAUUGGCUCAAUUUGUGCCAGCAGUCGCGGUUAAACAAAUAAUAUAAUUAAAUUUUGUCGGUAUAUAAUUUAUAAGAUUAUUUUUAAUUUAAAAUUAAAUUUUAUAAGUGAAAUUAGAAAUUUAAAUUAAGUUAGAUUAUUAUAUUGUUAAUUUAUGAAAUCUUAAUAAUAAACUAGGAUUAGAUACCCUAUUAUAAAAGAUGUAAAAUUAAAUGCUAGAGUAUUAGUAGUUAUGGUCUUGAAAUUCAAAAAAUUUGGCGGUAUCUUAAGUCUAUUUAGAGGAACCUGUUCUAUAAUUGAUGAUCCACGAUUAAUUGUACUUAAUUUUUAUUUGUAUAUCGUCGUAGUUGAAUGUCUUUAAAAAGUUAUUUGAUUAACGUUCAUUAGUUAGAAAUAUAAAUUAAAUCAGAUCAAGAUACAGUUUAUAAUUAAGAAGAAAUGGGUUACAAUAAAAUUAUUUAAAUGGUUAUAAUAUUUAACAAUAUUGUAUAAAUUGGAUUUAAAAGUAAUAUAUUUAAGUUAAAAUAUAUGAUUCUAGUGCUAAGAUAUGUACAUAUCGCCCGUCGCUUCUAAUGAUAAGGAAAUUAGAAUAAGUCGUAACAUAGUAGGUGUACCGGAAGGUGUACCUAGGUUGAUUUAU